Daphnia pulex (common water flea) is the source of this 1081-nucleotide long non-coding RNA. RefSeq lists it as uncharacterized. The record is from RefSeq and is a predicted model, not a curated record. The transcript has 3 exons. Lineage: Eukaryota; Metazoa; Arthropoda; Branchiopoda; Diplostraca; Daphniidae.
AUCUUGAGUGAGUGAAGAACAGACGAAUGAAGAAAAAGUGUUACGUUGUUUGAUUUUGUGAGUGUUUAAAGAGUAGAAUUAUACUAGUUAAAAAGACGAGUGUUUAUAAGUUACGUCAAAUGGUGGAACAAAAUAAGGAGUGUCUCAUCCAAAUCAGCAAAUUUAAAUUUUCUCUUGUGAUAUCAGGACUUACAAAGAUUUUACAGAGGGUCAAUGAAUCCAGAACACAUGGUCCUGACUAUGAGAAAAAUUAUUAUGAAUCAUUGCUAAUUGCUAAUAAGACACUUUAGAGAAAUGCCUAAGUGACCAACCAAAAGAUACAACAAGAUUUGACGAAGCCAUGAAUGUUAAACUGUUACUGCGAGAAAUCUGCCUAUUUAUUGUUAAACAAACUUUGAAAUAAAAAAUAUAUAAUAAUAAUCAAGUUUUAACUAUUGAUGCAGAUUUUCCAAAUGAAAAUCCAAUGGUUAACCAGCUUAAAGCUCUAGCUUCAAAAGUUUUAUUUGGUCUCAGUCUCAACAAUUUCAAUGCUGUUUUCAGUCGGAUGUCAUCAAGACUGCAAGAAUUAAGUACAUGCAACGAAGAGAAUCCUAACUUAAGUUACAUCGAACUCAUUCAACAUAUAAAUGUAGAUAUACCAUACGACUAAUCAAAUUGCUGAACGGUGAUAAAAAGUGGUGGAAAAAGUGUUUGCGCUUGUUCAGUCUGUGCUCAACGACUUAAAAAUAAGUGAAUCUAGAAUAUUCCAAAUUGCCACAAUGUGACGUUAUUUCUUGGGCGGGUGUUACUAUUCAAUCCAGGCAAGCCAUUUUCCCGUUGUGUCAAGCCCACUGUUUCGUGUCUUGUUUUCGCAUAAAUCCCCCCUACAACGAAGCUCUUAAAGUAUGCCUCAAUCCACAUUCACCACCAACUUUUCACCAUGUCCUGCCCAGUGACUUCGUUCGUGGGACAUCUUAUGCGGCAGUUGUUGUGUGCCAACGGGAAAUUUGGCAGAAAAAUCCUUGAAGACGUUUGGACUAAAUUAAACUAUAAAUGAUGUCCUACUGUAUUUCUUUUCUUUGAAUACAUAUUUGGAACUGAA